GUGAGGAAUAUUGGUCAAUGGGCGGGAGCCUGAACCAGCCAAGUCGCGUGAAGGAAGAAGGAUCUAUGGUUCGUAAACUUCUUUUGCAGGGGAAUAAAGUGCAGGACGUGUCCUGUUUUGUAUGUACCCUGAGAAUAAGGAUCGGCUAACUCCGUGCCAGCAGCCGCGGUAAUACGGAGGAUCCGAGCGUUAUCCGGAUUUAUUGGGUUUAAAGGGUGCGUAGGUGGUUUGAUAAGUCAGCGGUGAAAGUUUGCAGCUUAACUGUAAAAAUGCCGUUGAAACUGUCGGACUUGAGUGUAAAUGAGGUAGGCGGAAUGCGUGGUGUAGCGGUGAAAUGCAUAGAUAUCACGCAGAACUCCGAUUGCGAAGGCAGCUUACUAAGCUACAACUGACACUGAAGCACGAAAGCGUGGGGAUCAAACAGGAUUAGAAACCUUGUAGUCC
Molecule: ribosomal RNA, 444 nt
Filed under: uncultured bacterium
Lineage: Bacteria
Description: partial 16S ribosomal RNA
Rfam family: Bacterial small subunit ribosomal RNA
Source: RNAcentral